AACGAACGCUGGCGGCAUGCCUAACACAUGCAAGUCGAACGAGACCUUCGGGUCUAGUGGCGCACGGGUGCGUAACGCGUGGGAACCUGCCCUUAGGUUCGGAAUAACUCCCCGAAAGGGGUUCUAAUACCGGAUAAUGUCUUCGGACCAAAGAUUUAUCGCCUUUGGAUGGGCCCGCGUUGGAUUAGCUAGUUGUUAGGGUAAAAGCCUACCAAGGCGACGAUCCAUAGCUGGUCUGAGAGGAUGAUCAGCCACACUGGGACUGAGACACGGCCCAGACUCCUACGGGAGGCAGCAGUGGGGAAUAUUGGACAAUGGGCGAAAGCAUGAUCCAGCAAUGCCGCGUGAGUGAUGAAGGCCUUAGGGUUGUAAAGCUCUUUUACACGGGAUGAUAAUGACAGUACCGGGAGAAUAAGCUCCGGCUAACUCCGUG
Molecule: ribosomal RNA, 433 nt
Filed under: uncultured bacterium
Lineage: Bacteria
Description: partial 16S ribosomal RNA
Rfam family: Bacterial small subunit ribosomal RNA
Source: RNAcentral